AGCGAACGCUGGCGGCAGGCCUAACACAUGCAAGUCGAACGAACUCUUCGGAGUUAGUGGCGGACGGGUGAGUAACACGUGGGAACGUGCCUUUAGGUUCGGAAUAACUCAGGGAAACUUGUGCUAAUACCGAAUGUGCCCUUCGGGGGAAAGAUUUAUCGCCUUUAGAGCGGCCCGCGUCUGAUUAGCUAGUUGGUGAGGUAAAGGCUCACCAAGGCGACGAUCAGUAGCUGGUCUGAGAGGAUGAUCAGCCACAUUGGGACUGAGACACGGCCCAAACUCCUACGGGAGGCAGCAGUGGGGAAUCUUGCGCAAUGGGCGAAAGCCUGACGCAGCCAUGCCGCGUGAAUGAUGAAGGUCUUAGGAUUGUAAAAUUCUUUCACCGGGGACGAUAAUGAUGGUACCCGGAGAAGAAGCCCCGGCUAACUUCGUG
Molecule: ribosomal RNA, 433 nt
Filed under: uncultured bacterium
Lineage: Bacteria
Description: partial 16S ribosomal RNA
Rfam family: Bacterial small subunit ribosomal RNA
Source: RNAcentral